GGAUGUAUAGCGAUAGCUAAUUGUAUCCAGACAUAAUGGAUACAAUAUUGACUUUGUCAAAUAAAAUUCUAGGCAGAAUUAUGAUAAUGACAUUGUCUGCCUAUGUGUCUUGACCAAAUUACGUGCCAGCAGUCGCGGUAAUACGUAGAAGACUAGUGUUAUUCAUCUUUAAUAGGUUUAAAGGGUACCUAGACGGUAAAUAAAGCCUAAAAAGGGGGACUAAUUUACUAGAGUUACUUGUGAGGGGGCACUAAAGUACUGAUGGUGUAGAGAUAAAAUUCUGUAAUACCUUUUUCGUAAAGAAAACAAUGGCACAGGUAUAGGCGAAAGCAUCCCCUUAUGUGAUAACUGACGUUGAAGGACGAAGG
RNAcentral lists this ribosomal RNA (368 nucleotides) under Lecanora stanislai. Its description in RNAcentral is "SSU rRNA". It matches the Rfam family "Bacterial small subunit ribosomal RNA", at positions 366 to 759 of the family's 1533-position model. The record is from RNAcentral. Lineage: Eukaryota; Fungi; Ascomycota; Lecanoromycetes; Lecanorales; Lecanoraceae.